This 73-nucleotide transfer RNA is filed under the name Candidatus Riesia pediculischaeffi. It matches the Rfam family "tRNA". From Rfam's summary of the family: Transfer RNA (tRNA) molecules are approximately 80 nucleotides in length. Lineage: Bacteria; Pseudomonadati; Pseudomonadota; Gammaproteobacteria; Enterobacterales; Enterobacteriaceae. The record is from Rfam by way of RNAcentral.
GCCCGAAUAGCUCAGUAGGUAGAGCAGAGGACUGAAAAUCCUUGUGUCGACGGUUCGAUUCCGUCUUCGGGCA